Helianthus annuus (common sunflower) is the source of this 568-nucleotide long non-coding RNA. RefSeq lists it as uncharacterized. The record is from RefSeq and is a predicted model, not a curated record. The transcript is spliced from 2 exons. NCBI's taxonomy places the organism in Eukaryota, Viridiplantae, Streptophyta, Magnoliopsida, Asterales, Asteraceae.
AGAAAAAUGUACUUUUCUGCAUGAAAGUCCUGAUAAGUUUAAGUUUCAACCAACCAAUGACAAUGGAGGGAGUUCUGGGAUCAAGGUUGAGACUGUGGUUGACCAUGGUCAACGUCAAACUAUUGUAGGUCAAGAUUCUGUGAAGACUCAUGGGCUUGCAGGAAGCUCGACUGCAGCCAACGCGGUUCCUGGUCCCAUCACCACUGAACCACCAGCUACUAGUUCAGCCUCUGUUGUUCCUGUCACACCACCGCGUCUAGGAAGGGGGUUCUUGAAACUAGCGGGUAAGAAGUUGGGUGGCAUCUAUGGAGACUGGAUUGAUGAAGAAGAAGAAGAUAACUUGGAUUAACAAGGAACCUGAAAACCUUUGUUACCAAAAAAAAACUGAGUGAUAUCUUUAGUAUUUGGUGUUUCCUUAAGAUUUUAUGUGGCUUUUACUUUUUUUAGACCAUUCUUCCCAAAAUGGGUGAAACUCAUAUGCAUGUAUCUUGCCAUUGUUGUCGCCUUAGACAUUCUCAUUUGGGGGAUAGAAUCUUUUUAAAAUUAUGUCGUGAAAGUUUACUUUGGA